This is a long non-coding RNA of Eriocheir sinensis (Chinese mitten crab), 1996 nucleotides long. RefSeq lists it as uncharacterized. NCBI's taxonomy places the organism in Eukaryota, Metazoa, Arthropoda, Malacostraca, Decapoda, Varunidae. The record is from RefSeq and is a predicted model, not a curated record. The transcript is spliced from 4 exons.
UAAUAGGCGCUAUGGUUACUGGCUCAGACUCACUUAACGUGGUCCAAGUCACCUUUGACAUCAAGAUCAAGAACCAGCUGGAAGGUAAACAUGGCUGAGGUGCGGCGUCUCCCAAGGUCUUUUCAUCCUAGGCGGGACAUAUUGAACAGUUUAAGUGACGCAGAACUUGUCAAAAUAUACAGACUGAACAGGGGAGGAAUUGUGUUUGUUCCUGAUUUAGUAAGAAAUGAAUUAACAUCCCCAAUAUCAAGAAACAAGGCCGUCUCUCCGGGGGGGCAGUGGUUAUCCUAGUCAGAGGUGGCUGUUGACUCCAUACCUGCGCCCUCUGCCUGGCCCACAAACUUACUACAACAGUGCACACAAGAGGACCAGAUGCACCGUGGAGAGGGUCAACGGGCAGUGGAAGCGACGAUUCCACAUACUUCAUGGGGAAAGGCUUAAGUCCCCUGCAUAUGUGAGCAGGAUCAUCGAGGUGUGUGCUUUGCUGCACAGCAUUGCAAGGAAAGGAACAUCGAUUUACCUGCAGGUAACGAGGCUGGUGAGAGUGCACGGCCUCUACCUGUUGUGCAGAUAGCACCUGCUGCUGGACGGAACCAGCGGGAUGGUCUGCGAUACAGGGAUGCAUACGUCAAUUUUCACUUCAAUGCUGGUCCUCACCCUGUCCCUGCCCAACCCUAACCAUCCCCAUGAGGAAAAAUGACAAGCUUCCACACAUACACUACUGAGUCCUGCAAUCUGCCUGCAUUCCUGCUGCUUCAACUCAGUUUCUUGUGGAGUGUUGGGGAAGUUGAUGAAUCUUCUGAGUAUACCAACGGCUGAAAGUGUGUACACCGUCUCCUUGCUGGUCGUCUGUUGUGAUGGGCCCAAGUCAUCACUACUACACCGUUUCAUUUUUCUGAUGCAAUUUAUUUGACAAUAUUAACCACUGUAAACUGGGGGAUGGGAUGGAUGGCUGUUUCUUGACCUUUGGGGUGAUACUACAACUUAAACAAAAUCAGUGACAAUCACAAUUCAUUCCUUAUUAUUAUUAUUAUUAUUUCUUAUUACGCCUUAUUAUUUUAGUAGUUUUUCUUCAUUGUUUGGUAUUAAGUAAAUUUUGGAACAACCGCUGUUGUUCUGGUGCUGUCUCUGUCCUGUUGGCCCUUCAAACCAGUGACAAAAGAACCCAUUAACCCAAUACAGGGCCAGUAUAACAUUUACCUGAUUAAUGUUUACCGUCCCCAUUUUGCCCCAGCAUGUACCUGUGUAAUAAACAUCCUGUUUUGGGUAAGAAAAAUAAUCAUUGUAUAUCAUUAAUAUUUAUUUACUCCAACAGAAAAGAAUGACAUAGAUAAUUCAGGGAUUAACCCUUAAAGCGCGGGCUUGUUUUGCCGUGCCUGUCCUCCCACGUGGGCAUAUUCAGGCAAAAACAUACCUUACUUAUCUUUUUAUAUCUUCACUUCUACUUAUCUCACGUGCCUGAAUGAAGUAUCAUUGUAAAGUACAUACCAUACAUAGCUGGAACUGCCUGAGGGUUGGUUUAGGAGGAAGCAGUGAGGGUGGUAGCUGGUGUAGGGGCUGACUGUCUGGGGCCGGGCUGCGUGGUUAUUGGGUCCUCCUCCUCCUCAAGUAACCUGCUGGUUAAGUUCAAAGUGAUGCAUGUUGAAAAAGUGUUAAUAUGUUAAAACAUAUUUAGAACCAUAAUAAAUAGUUAUGUAUACCAUUAAUAAUUAAUGCUGGUACUCCAUGCACUGAAUUAAUAAAUUAAAUUUAAAUAAAAAAGAUAUGGUAACUGUUGAUUUACAUUUUUUUUAUUCAUACUUUUAUACAACAAAGAAAAGCAACUAGUUUGUGGUAAGCACACUGGAAAUUGACUUGGGAAACUCCAAGUGAGGGAGAAAAUAAUUUCAAAUUGAUCUCAAGAUAUAGUAUGAGAAAUAAUCAAAAUGAAAAAAAUAUAAAUAGGUUUCACCCUAAGAAUAAUGAAAAAAAUAUUUGAUGUAUGCACGAACAUUAC